UACGUAGGGUGCGAGCGUUAAUCGGAAUUACUGGGCGUAAAGGGUGCGCAGGCGGAUAUAUAAGUUAGAUGUGAAAUACCCGGGCUUAACCUGGGAAUGGCAUUUAAGACUGUAUGUCUAGAGUUUGUCAGAGGGGGGUAGAAUUCCAAGUGUAGCAGUGAAAUGCGUAGAGAUUUGGAGGAAUACCGAUGGCGAAGGCAGCCCCCUGGGAUAGAACUGACGCUCAGGCACGAAAGCGUGGGUAGCAAACAGG
RNAcentral lists this ribosomal RNA (253 nucleotides) under uncultured Neisseriaceae bacterium. RNAcentral describes it as "partial 16S ribosomal RNA". It matches the Rfam family "Bacterial small subunit ribosomal RNA", at positions 524 to 776 of the family's 1533-position model. Lineage: Bacteria; Pseudomonadati; Pseudomonadota; Betaproteobacteria; Neisseriales; Neisseriaceae. The record is from RNAcentral.